RNAcentral lists this unclassified non-coding RNA (356 nucleotides) under Malassezia sp. Its description in RNAcentral is "partial contains 5.8S ribosomal RNA, internal transcribed spacer 2, and large subunit ribosomal RNA". Lineage: Eukaryota; Fungi; Basidiomycota; Malasseziomycetes; Malasseziales; Malasseziaceae. The record is from RNAcentral.
CGCACCUUGCGCUCUAUGGCAAUCCGUAGAGCAUGCCUGUUUGAGUGCCAUGAAAUCUCCCACCACAAGCGGUUUUUAUGAAACGGCUUGGCGGACGGGGUCUUGAUGGGUGCCGCUGCCUGUGCUUGACCACAGGCUCGCCCGAAAUGCAUGAGCGCCUUGGGACACUUUGCAUCCGCCUCUCUUGUUGGGAGGAGGCGGCCAAGCAGUGUUUCUCCUGGCAUAGCAUGAUACGUCAUUUGCUAUGUCGCCUAAUGGAGGAUGUUUGGUUGUGUCUGCGUGUGCUUAACUGCCUCUGUGCACAUCCCGAUUUCACUUCUGGUCUCAAAUCAGGUAGGAUCACCCGCUGAACUUAA